RNAcentral lists this transfer RNA (77 nucleotides) under Paenarthrobacter nitroguajacolicus. Its description in RNAcentral is "tRNA-Met". It matches the Rfam family "tRNA". Rfam says of the family: Transfer RNA (tRNA) molecules are approximately 80 nucleotides in length. The record is from RNAcentral. RNAcentral also lists the same sequence under 2 other names. Lineage: Bacteria; Bacillati; Actinomycetota; Actinomycetes; Micrococcales; Micrococcaceae.
GGGGCUAUAGCUCAGCUGGUUAGAGCGCGGGACUCAUAAUCCUAAGGUCCUCGGUUCAAGUCCGAGUAGCCCUACAA